RNAcentral lists this ribosomal RNA (497 nucleotides) under uncultured bacterium. Its description in RNAcentral is "partial 16S ribosomal RNA". It matches the Rfam family "Bacterial small subunit ribosomal RNA", at positions 28 to 507 of the family's 1533-position model. The record is from RNAcentral.
GAUGAACGCUGGCGGCGUGCCUAAUACAUGCAAGUCGAGCGAACAGACGAGGAGCUUGCUCCUCUGACGUUAGCGGCGGACGGGUGAGUAACACGUGGAUAACCUACCUAUAGGACUGGGAUAACUUCGGGAAACCGGAGCUAAUACCGGAUAACAUGUUGAACCGCAUGGUUCAAUAGUGAAAGACGGUUUUGCUGUCACUUAUAGAUGGAUCCGCGUCGCAUUAGCUAGUUGGUAAGGUAACGGCUUACCAAGGCAACGAUGCGUAGCCGACCUGAGAGGGUGAUCGGCCACACUGGAACUGAGACACGGUCCAGACUCCUACGGGAGGCAGCAGUAGGGAAUCUUCCGCAAUGGGCGAAAGCCUGACGGAGCAACGCCGCGUGAGUGAAGAAGGUCUUCGGAUCGUAAAACUCUGUUAUUAGGGAAGAACAAAUGUGUAAGUAACUAUGCACGUCUUGACGGUACCUAAUCAGAAAGCCACGGCUAACUACGUG